RNAcentral lists this ribosomal RNA (253 nucleotides) under uncultured bacterium. Its description in RNAcentral is "partial 16S ribosomal RNA". It matches the Rfam family "Bacterial small subunit ribosomal RNA", at positions 524 to 776 of the family's 1533-position model. The record is from RNAcentral.
UACGAAGGGGGCAAGCGUUGUUCGGAAUUACUGGGCGUAAAGGGCGCGUAGGCGGCUUAUCAAGUCAGGCGUGAAAUUCCCGGGCUCAACCUAGGGGCUGCGUUUGAUACUGAUGAGCUUGAAUGCGGGAGAGGAUAGUGGAAUUCCCAGUGUAGAGGUGAAAUUCGUAGAUAUUGGGAAGAACACCAGUGGCGAAGGCGGCUAUCUGGCCCGUAAUUGACGCUGAGGCGCGAAAGCGUGGGGAGCAAACAGG